GACGUAGGGAGCAAGCGUUGUUCGGAUUUACUGGGCGUAAAGGGCGCGUAGGCGGCGCGGUAAGUCACUUGUGAAAUCUCUGAGCUUAACUCAGAACGGCCAAGUGAUACUGCAGUGCUAGAGUGCAGAAAGGGCAAUCGGAAUUCUUGGUGUAGCGGUGAAAUGCGCAGAUAUCAGGAGGAACACCGGUGGCGAAGGCGGGUCUCUGGGCAACAACUGACGCUGAGGAGCGAAAGCGUGGGGAGCAAACAGG
Molecule: ribosomal RNA, 253 nt
Filed under: uncultured bacterium
Lineage: Bacteria
Description: partial 16S ribosomal RNA
Rfam family: Bacterial small subunit ribosomal RNA
Source: RNAcentral